UUCCGAUCUUGGAGCCACUGACUGAUGGCAAAGUGGUCCAGACUGAUGAGGCUGACAUGGGAAUGACCUAUUCAGAGCUGUCUGUGAUCGGCAGACUCAGGAAGAUCUCCAAGUGUGGCCCGUAUAGCAUGUUUUGCAAGCUCAUUAGUUCGUGGAAAGACACCUUCUCUCCCUCACAGGUGGCCACGAAAGUGAAACAUUUCUUUCGGAUGUACUCAAUCAAUAGACAUAAGAUGACAACGGUAACACCCUCUUAUCAUGCUGAUAGCUACGGUCCGGAUGACAACCGCUUUGACCUCCGUCCUUUCCUUUACAACACGCGGUGGAGCUGGCAAUUCCGCUGCAUCGACAAUGAGGUAGCUAAGAUGGAGUGAUAUGGAGGACAUCUACACAUGUAAAAGCUAUCAGAAUCAACUUAUCCUCGGUCCAAAGAUUAACCUCAGCCACUGAUGUAAUUGUGGACACUUGCUUCUCAACAUUCUUUCAGUCAGACUGUCAACGCACUGUAUCUUUCUCUAAAUUAUCAAUAGUGUUCUUCUUAGGAUGUGUAAAUCCUAAUGUCUUUAGCUACAGUAUGUAUGUUCGAAUUACAAUGCAAAUGAUGAUGUUUAUGAUUAUUAAUAUAGUAUUUGAUAAUGAUAGUUGUUUGAAAAUGAAUAGAGGUGAAAAUAGUACAUAUGGUAGAGACAUAAUCUGUGAUACUGUAAUUACAAUUUUCCUUGUGCAACUCGCCAAUAAACAACAUCAGAUCAGCUGAAUCUAUUUUACCAAGAUCAUGUCAGUGCAGUCUCAAUGAUCACUGGGUCAUUCCUGUUGCUGGAUCUCUUGAACUUUGUUACUUGUAAAAAUGAACAUUCUAUAUAAGACAUUUCGCUAUAAAAAGAGUUAGUGUACUCGUGUAUAUAUAAGGAUUAUAUUUUAAUGUAGCAUACUUAUUGCAAAUAUGUUUUUGUAAAGUUCAGGUAUGCUAUUUAAAUUGUUAUUAGAUUAUCUGCGGAGGAGCAAUAAUUCAUGAUUAAAGAUUAAAGAUUUCUCUCUCACACACACACAUGCAUAUACAGUUGAAGUCGGAAUUAUUAGCCCUUAGAUUUUUUUUUUUUCCCUUUUUAAAUAUUUCCCAAAUGAUGUUUAACAGAGCAAGAACAUUUUCACAGUAUAUCUGAUAAUAUUUUUUCUUCUGGAGAAAGUCUUAUUUGUUAUAUUUUGGCUAAAAACAGAUUUAAAUUUUGAAAAAGCUAUUUUAAGGACAUAAUUAUUAGCUCCUUAAGCUAUAUAUAUUUCUUGAUAGUCUACAGAACAAACCACUGUUAUGCAAUCACUUCCCUAAUUGCCCUAACCUGCCUGGUUAAACCCAAUUAACCUAAUUAAGCCUUUAAAGGUCACUUUAAGCUGUAUAGAAGUGUCUUGAAAAAUAUCUAGUCAAAUAUUAUUUACUGUCAUCAUGGCAAAGAUAAAAUAAAUCAGUUAUUAGAGAUGAGUUAUUAAAACUGUUAUGUUUAGAAAUGUUGAAGUCUCUCAGUUAAACAGAAAUUGAGGAAAAAAAAUAAACAGGGGGGCAAAUAAUUCUGACUUCAACUGUAUAAAACCCCUUUGACUGCCACUCUACCAAACGGUUGACCAUGUUUUGACUGUUUUAAAUAAUGACUGUUAAAGUAUUUUAAAGAAUGACUGUUUUAAAUAAUGUCUUACACACAGCAUUGUUGGUUUACAAAAAAAUCAAGCACACAUAAUCUUGUUGCAAUACUACACUUGAUUUUGGUUUUACUGUAAAUCAACAACACCAAGAAAACAUGUUAAAUGAGAAUCUGAAAUAUUUUACGGCAUACUUUUAAAAAUAAAGGUGAUUUAGUAUUCAAAUUUAUUUUAUUUAGAAUAUUAAAAAAAAAAAAAUUGGUCUUACACUUUAUAAUUUUUAUUUUUCAUUUGUAUUAAUUUCGGUACUUUUACCAUACACCAACAAAUCAACCAUUUGGUAGAGGUUGAUAUUUUAGAAAUUAUGGAAUGCGUUGGAAAAAAAAAUGCAUUGAGUGUGUUAAGUAGCGAGAUUAGGAGUUAAAAAAAUGCAAUCCAAUUUUUUUUUCUUGGUAAGGUAGUUAAAAUGUUAAUUACUGUAUAUUACGUAAAUAUACAUAUGUAUAUU
RNAcentral lists this long non-coding RNA (2140 nucleotides) under Danio rerio (zebrafish). RNAcentral describes it as "NAD synthetase 1 (ENSDARG00000117533.1)". Lineage: Eukaryota; Metazoa; Chordata; Actinopteri; Cypriniformes; Danionidae. The record is from RNAcentral.